Molecule: ribosomal RNA, 508 nt
Filed under: uncultured bacterium
Lineage: Bacteria
Description: bacterial SSU rRNA
Rfam family: Bacterial small subunit ribosomal RNA
Source: RNAcentral
CCUACGGGAGGCAGCAGUAGGGAAUUUUCCACAAUGGGCGAAAGCCUGAUGGAGCAAUACCGCGUGCAGGAUGAAGGCCUUCGGGCCGUAAACUGCUUUUAUGUGCGAAGAAUUUGACGGUAACACAUGAAUAAGGAUCGGCUAACUACGUGCCAGCAGCCGCGGUCAUACGUAGGGUCCAAGCGUUAUCCGGAAUUACUGGGCGUAAAGAGUUGCGUAGGUGGCAUUAUAAGUGGAGCGUGAAAGCGUGCGGCUCAACCGCAUUAUUGCGUUCCAAACUGUGAAGCUUGAGUAUGGGAGAGGUAGAUGGAAUUUCAGUGUAGGAGUGAAAUCCGUAGAUAUUAGAAGGAACACCGAUGGCGUAGGCAGUCUACUGGCCCAUUACUGACACUAAGGCACGAAAGCGUGGGGAGCAAACGGGAUUAGAUACCCCGGGUAGUCCGACGCUGUAAACUAUGGAUGCUAGCUGUGAACACACAUCACUGUGUCGUAGUGAGUAACGUACGUA